GACUUGGUAGCUCAGUUGGUAGAGCGUGGGGCUAGUUUACCUGAGGUCACAGGUUCAAUUCCUGUUCAGGUCA
This is a transfer RNA of Sphaerobolus stellatus SS14, 73 nucleotides long. It matches the Rfam family "tRNA". Rfam says of the family: Transfer RNA (tRNA) molecules are approximately 80 nucleotides in length. Their secondary structure includes four short double-helical elements and three loops (D, anti-codon, and T loops). The record is from Rfam. Lineage: Eukaryota; Fungi; Basidiomycota; Agaricomycetes; Geastrales; Sphaerobolaceae.